CCGACCUGAGAGGGUGAUCGGCCACACUGGGACUGAGACACGGCCCAGACUCCUACGGGAGGCAGCAGUAGGGAAUCUUCCGCAAUGGACGAAAGUCUGACGGAGCAACGCCGCGUGAGUGAAGAAGGUUUUCGGAUCGUAAAACUCUGU
Molecule: ribosomal RNA, 150 nt
Filed under: uncultured Macrococcus sp.
Lineage: Bacteria; Bacillati; Bacillota; Bacilli; Caryophanales; Staphylococcaceae
Description: partial 16S ribosomal RNA
Rfam family: Bacterial small subunit ribosomal RNA
Source: RNAcentral